GUGCAACGUAGCUAUGUCGCGUCUUAGAUAGUUUACUCUUACGUAAUGUGUUUCUCAAUGUGAUACGGUAUGGUUUUAAAUGGAUCGAUCAGAGGGAUUUUGGUCGAUUGAGAAGAAUGUUCGUAUAGGAAUAGUUGUCACUAUACGUUUUUGGUAUAUCGAAAGAUUAGUGAAGUUCGUUGCUUAUUGUUUCAUACGUAUACAUUUUCAUAGCAAUCUUCAUGAUUAUUCGUUAUCCUCUGUUAAUUAAUGUUUUACAUGCAUAAG
This 267-nucleotide unclassified non-coding RNA is filed under the name Bombus terrestris (buff-tailed bumblebee). Its description in RNAcentral is "misc RNA ENSBTSG00005027983.1". The record is from RNAcentral. Lineage: Eukaryota; Metazoa; Arthropoda; Insecta; Hymenoptera; Apidae.